This 1562-nucleotide unclassified non-coding RNA is filed under the name Nilaparvata lugens (brown planthopper). RNAcentral describes it as "uncharacterized LOC111056799, transcript variant X3". Lineage: Eukaryota; Metazoa; Arthropoda; Insecta; Hemiptera; Delphacidae. The record is from RNAcentral.
UAUUAUCACAGUAAAUCCUGAUAAUUGUUAUGGCUCGAAAAAUUUCUAUGGAAUUUUCAUUAGAAAUGAAUUGAUGCAUCUUACAACUAUAAUUUCGAAUGUGGUUUCACAGCGAGGCGAAUCUAAUAGCAUUUGGAUUGCAGUUUUGAACUAGAUAAUAUCAGGCGACCUAUCCGACUGUGAAAAGCUAUUAUAACGGAGUCUCAGCGGUCCAUGUUUGGGGCAAACUAAUUUAUGACUGACUAUGGAAGAACGAUCCUUGUUAAUGCUAAAUCAAUCCACAAUUAUGAAUAGGGGACAAGGAAUUCCAAGUGCAUCCAUCAUAGGAGGAACAGGAAAACGGAUAUGGAGGAUAGGAGAUAAUUGCCAAACUGUGUUUUCAUUUAAGCAGUUAUCGAACAUCAUUACCCAAAUACUCUGCGACGUAACUCGGUACCGAGGCGGUCUCUUCUCUACCAGCAACAGAAAUAGGAGACAAUGGAGCUGGAGAAAUGGCAAAAGAUAGCCACAAGUUUUGCAAGGAUAUGAUGGGAGUUCUGCAGCAAUCUGGGAAAGAUACGUUUUCGGCAAUCGUUGACACAGUGAAAGCAGCUGGCUCAGCCGUUGGUUUCUGCGCAGUAGAGUGCUUGAAAAUCUUCGAAAAAGCCAUCAAAAGUGUAAUCACUUUGAACUUCAAGGAACUUGCCAAUCAAGUGGUGAAGUUUGGUCAAUGUUUCUUAGAUUGUGUUAAACAAGUGCUCAACAUUUUCAAGGUGGGCUUCCAAGGUGCAAAUAAAGUGAAAAAUACUAUCAUGAGUGGUGUUGGAAGUUCAAAGGUGCCCAAUAUCAAAUUAUUUUAGCAUUCUGAAAAUGAAUCUUAAUUUUUUCCCGUUUGUGUUUAAUAAAUUUUUGUGAAAUUUGUAGAUCGAAUCUAUAAAUUUGAGUUCAAUAUUGAAUAUUCUAUUGUUUACUUGGAGUAUAGAAGAAAUCUCAUUUACAAAAUGAUCCAGUAAUGCUCAUGUUACUCUUGUACUAUAAAAAACAAAAAAAUCGAUAGGAGCUUAUCGAGAUUUUUCUAUUCCACGCAGAUUUUCCAAUAGUCCUUGUAUUUAGGCCUAUUGGGUGCAUCCGUCCAUCGAUACUAACUUUGUAAAAUCCAGUUGAUUAGAAAUCAAUCUGAAAACACAAAAUUAAAACUUGUCUUGAUCCAUCAAUCUUGAACAAAUAAUGAGGCAUGUAACUAAGGAAGUUACAGGAAAGAUUUUAUUUUCUAAUAAUAAAGAUUAACAAAUGUCAGAUGCAUCCUUUUAUUCUUCUUUUUUAGGCCAAUACAACAUUCAUGAAAUCCAUUUGUAUAAAUAUAACUCGAAGUGGAUUUUACUAUAAUAUAGUUCCGUUUUAAUAAAAUACAUCAUUUCUAUUUCAAAAUACAUGUCUUAAAAUGCUCACCAUAGAAUUCACAAUACAAAUAAAUUCGACAGACAUUAAUCCAAAUAUUUCCCCUGGUUCAAGAUGAUAUUAUUGCAAAGCAUACACUAAACAAUCAGUUGCAUCCAAUGGGUUAGAGCUCAAAACUACUGAAA